Molecule: ribosomal RNA, 309 nt
Filed under: uncultured Alternaria
Lineage: Eukaryota; Fungi; Ascomycota; Dothideomycetes; Pleosporales; Pleosporaceae
Description: SSU rRNA
Rfam family: Eukaryotic small subunit ribosomal RNA
Source: RNAcentral
AAAGAUUAAGCCAUGCAUGUCUAAGUAUAAGCAAUUAUACCGUGAAACUGCGAAUGGCUCAUUAAAUCAGUUAUCGUUUAUUUGAUAAUACCUUACUACUUGGAUAACCGUGGUAAUUCUAGAGCUAAUACAUGCUGAAAAUCCCGACUUCGGAAGGGAUGUGUUUAUUAGAUAAAAAACCAAUGCCCUUCGGGGCUNUUUGGUGAUUCAUGAUAACUUUACGGAUCGCAUAGCCUUGCGCUGGCGACGGUUCAUUCAAAUUUCUGCCCUAUCAACUUUCGAUGGUAAGGUAUUGGCUUACCAUGGUUU